Molecule: ribosomal RNA, 433 nt
Filed under: uncultured bacterium
Lineage: Bacteria
Description: partial 16S ribosomal RNA
Rfam family: Bacterial small subunit ribosomal RNA
Source: RNAcentral
AACGAACGCUGGCGGCAUGCCUAACACAUGCAAGUCGAACGAGACCUUCGGGUCUAGUGGCGCACGGGUGCGUAACGCGUGGGAACCUGCCCUUAGGUUCGGAAUAACUCCCCGAAAGGGGUGCUAAUACCGGAUAAUGUCUUCGGACCAAAGAUUUAUCGCCUUUGGAUGGGCCCGCGUUGGAUUAGCUAGUUGGUAGGGUAAAAACCUACCAAGGCGACGAUCCAUAGCUGGUCUGAGAGGAUGAUCAGCCACACUGGGACUGAGACACGGCCCAGACUCCUACGGGAGGCAGCAGUGGGGAAUAUUGGACAAGGGGCGAAAGCCUGAUCCAGCAAUGCCGCGUGAGUGAUGAAGGCCUUAGGGUUGUAAAGCUCUUUUACCCGGGAUGAUAAUGACAGUACCGGGAGAAUAAGCUCCGGCUAACUCCGUG